Molecule: ribosomal RNA, 877 nt
Filed under: Proteiniclasticum sp.
Lineage: Bacteria; Bacillati; Bacillota; Clostridia; Eubacteriales; Clostridiaceae
Description: bacterial SSU rRNA
Rfam family: Bacterial small subunit ribosomal RNA
Source: RNAcentral
AAUGCGAGAUGUUUACAUUGAGCAUUCUUAGCGGCGGACGGGUGAGUAACACGUGGGUAACCUGCCUCAGAGUGGGGGAUAGCCUUUCGAAAGGAAGAUUAAUACCGCAUAAGCUUGUAGCAUCGCAUGGUGCAGCAAGAAAAGGAGCAAUCCGCUCUGAGAUGGACCCGCGGCGCAUUAGCUAGUUGGUGAGGUAACGGCUCACCAAGGCCACGAUGCGUAGCCGACCUGAGAGGGUGAUCGGCCACAUUGGAACUGAGACACGGUCCAGACUCCUACGGGAGGCAGCAGUGGGGAAUAUUGCACAAUGGGCGAAAGCCUGAUGCAGCAACGCCGCGUGAGUGAUGAAGGCUUUCGAGUCGUAAAGCUCUUUGAUCAGGGAUGAUAAUGACAGUACCUGAAAAACAAGCCACGGCUAACUACGUGCCAGCAGCCGCGGUAAUACGUAGGUGGCGAGCGUUGUCCGGAAUUACUGGGCGUAAAGGAUGCGUAGGUGGAUAUUUAAGUGGGAUGUGAAAUCCCCGGGCUCAACCCGGGAACUGCAUUCCAAACUGGAUAUCUAGAGUGCAGGAGAGGAAAGCGGAAUUCCUAGUGUAGCGGUGAAAUGCGUAGAUAUUAGGAGGAACACCAGUGGCGAAGGCGGCUUUCUGGACUGUAACUGACACUGAGGCAUGAAAGCGUGGGUAGCAAACAGGAUUAGAUACCCUGGUAGUCCACGCCGUAAACGAUGGGUACUAGGUGUAGGAGGUAUCGACCCCUUCUGUGCCGUCGUUAACACAAUAAGUACCCCGCCUGGGGAGUACGGUCGCAAGACUAAAACUCAAAGGAAUUGACGGGGGCCCGCACAAGCAGCGGAGCAUGUGGUUUAAUUCGAAGC